Molecule: ribosomal RNA, 744 nt
Filed under: uncultured bacterium
Lineage: Bacteria
Description: bacterial SSU rRNA
Rfam family: Bacterial small subunit ribosomal RNA
Source: RNAcentral
AGAGUUUGAUCAUGGCUCAGAACGAACGCUGGCGGCAUGCCUAACACAUGCAAGUCGAACGCGUGACUUCGGUCACGAGUGGCGCACGGGUGAGUAGCGCGUGGGAACCUGCCCUUUGGUACGGAAUAACCUCGGGAAACUGUGGCUAAUACCGUAUGUACCCUACGGGGGAAAGAUUUAUCGCCGGAGGAGGGGCCCGCGUCCGAUUAGGUAGUUGGUGAGGUAACGGCUCACCAAGCCUUCGAUCGGUAGCUGGUCUGAGAGGAUGAUCAGCCACACUGGGACUGAGACACGGCCCAGACUCCUACGGGAGGCAGCAGUGGGGAAUAUUGGACAAUGGGGGCAACCCUGAUCCAGCAAUGCCGCGUGAGUGAUGAAGGCCUUCGGGUUGUAAAGCUCUUUCGCCUACGACGAUGGUGACGGUAGUAGGAGAAGAAGCCCCGGCUAACUUCGUGCCAGCAGCCGCGGUAAUACGAAGGGGGCUAGCGUUGUUCGGAGUUACUGGGCGUAAAGGGCGCGUAGGCGGCUGUCCAAGUCAGGUGUGAAAGCCCGGGGCUCAACCCCGGAUGUGCACUUGAGACUGGGCGGCUUGAGGAUGGGAGAGGAUGGUGGAAUUCCCAGUGUAGAGGUGAAAUUCGUAGAUAUUGGGAAGAACACCGGUGGCGAAGGCGGCCAUCUGGACCAUUUCUGACGCUGAGGCGCGAAAGCGUGGGGAGCAAACAGGAUUAGAUACCCUAGUAGUCC